GAGGGUCCCAGACGGAUCCAGAGAUCUGCUAACCUGUCUUGCUGUUUGCUUGUGAAAGCCUGGCUGAUUCUUGGAGCAAACAGGAAUCCUUCUGGUAGAGGGACGAGUUACUGCCCCGGUUGCUGAGUCUGUACUGGUUUUGCCAAUGGGAAAAAAUCAUGAUUUUCUGGAUGGUUAUAUUUAAAAAAAACGGUGAUCUAUGAGUUAUCGUUAUAGUGUCAGAGUAACAUCGCAGAACUGCGUUUCUUGGCACCGUAAACACUUGAAUGAGUUCCACGUGGGCGAGAGAAGAAACUUCAGACCAAACAUUACACUGAAAAUACAGUUCUGCUGAAGUCCUUGUGGGUUUCCUUGUUUGAGUGACGAGUGAGCCAGCGGGAAAUCUCUGACACUGGGUCUGCCAGAUGAAUGGGAGAGCCUCACUGGGACGAUGACAUUUGAAAAGGUCCGGGACAGAAGUGCGAGAGCAGAUCAUGUCUCCUUCUAGGGGAGGAGUGAUCCAGGUGAGGGGAACAGCGUGUGCAAAGGACAGAGGAGGGAGUGUGCGUGGUGUGUUCAAAGAACAGCAAGAAGCCAACAGGACCAGGAAAGGGAGUGCGGCCGGACACGAAGAGAGAAGGAGCAGGGAUUGUGUCAAGAGGAGCCUUGUAGGCUAUCACGAAACUUUCUAUUUUGAUGAGAACUUUACUCUGAAUAAAGCUGAAGGUCCCAGAAGAGAUCCCCGAUAAACUGUACCCUUGUUCCCCACCCAA
Molecule: long non-coding RNA, 752 nt
Organism: Equus quagga
Lineage: Eukaryota; Metazoa; Chordata; Mammalia; Perissodactyla; Equidae
Exons: 3
Source: RefSeq, a predicted model, not a curated record